AUGCCACCUUCCGUGCACGACACGGAAGGCCUGCCGUUCAUGAAGCAUGGUUGUGUCUUCAGUGCGCACCACCAGAUGAACGACAUGCUGGGACACGCUAUCCCUGAUUUAUGCCGCUUCAGCUUGGAUGAGUCUCCAUCAUGUGGAGCCGGACUAGAAAGCUGCGACAAUGAUUCCCGUUGCCCACCACUAUGGAUUGUGCCAUCCAUGAAGAACACCUGGGACUGGAACCUGGAGGAGGAUUACCAUAUAACUGGAAUUAACCGAUGCAAGUCGAAGAAGGAUUGGCCGGUGCUGCUGGCUGGCGUCAAGUUCGAUCCCACGGAUCAGGAGCUGAUCGAGCACCUUCAGGCCAAAGUGAGUGCUGACAGCGCGAGAUCUCACCCUCUCAUCGAUUUCUUCAUACCAACCAUCGACAGCGAGCACGACAUAUGCUACACCCAUCCUGAGAAACUUCCAGGUAUCACACUGAGUGGCCUAAGCAAGCAUUUCUUCCAGCGCCAUUCCAGGGCGUUCAAAAGGGGCACGUGGACGCGUCGCAAGUUACAGUCAGAGUGCGGCAUGCAUGCGAUGUGGCACAACACCGGCAAUACCUUGCCGGUGAUGGUCAACGGCCGGCAGACGGGCAGCAAAAAGAUUCUAGUGCUGCACACCAACAAGAACUUCGACCAGCAGAGGACCAACUGGGUGAUGCACCAGUACCACCUCGGGGACCUGGAGCAAGAGAAGGAGCGGGAGUUGGUCCUCUGCAAGAUUUUCUACCGGACGUCGAGCAAGUUUCAACUGGGCUGUAGACUGCCCAGGCUUGGUUUUGUUUUUAACAGGCCCAGCCCAUGA
Molecule: ribosomal RNA, 837 nt
Filed under: Triticum aestivum (bread wheat)
Lineage: Eukaryota; Viridiplantae; Streptophyta; Magnoliopsida; Poales; Poaceae
Description: partial small subunit ribosomal RNA
Source: RNAcentral